UAUAGGCAUACGACCA
RNAcentral lists this unclassified non-coding RNA (16 nucleotides) under Thermococcus kodakarensis KOD1. RNAcentral's name for it is "RNA strand from Thermococcus kodakarensis KOD1 (PDB 6WYB, chain B)". The record is from RNAcentral. Lineage: Archaea; Methanobacteriati; Methanobacteriota; Thermococci; Thermococcales; Thermococcaceae.